Long non-coding RNA from Pleuronectes platessa (European plaice), 762 nucleotides. RefSeq lists it as uncharacterized. The record is from RefSeq and is a predicted model, not a curated record. NCBI's taxonomy places the organism in Eukaryota, Metazoa, Chordata, Actinopteri, Pleuronectiformes, Pleuronectidae. The transcript is spliced from 3 exons.
GAAGAGGAAGAGGCGGAGGCGGAGGCCAUGCCAGAGGUAGAGGUAGAGGCCGAGGAGGAGGAAGAGGAAGAGGAAGACCUGAAGCAGGGGGAGAACAGGUUCAAAGAAGAAGACGACCAAAUUUAUCUAAUGAUAUUCGAGCAACACUAGUGGACCAUGUGGUGAACCAUGGAUUGACACUGAAGGAGGCUGGACUAAGAGUUCAGCCAAAUCUCAGCAGAUACAGUAUACGGUGGCAUCAGUCAUUAGGACAUUUCGACAAGAAAACAGGAUUGAGGGUCGAGAACGACAAGGAGGAAGGGGGCCCAUAUUUACACAAGAUCAAGAGAGAGAGAUAAUAAACAUGGUUUUGGCAAAUAAUGCUAUAACGCUCAGAGAAAUUCAAGCCAACAUUAUCGAUGACCAGGCCAUUUUCAAUAAUGUUGAUCAGGUCUCUCAGUCAACAGUGGCACGCAUCCUGAAAAGACAUCAGGUUGAAAUGAAACAACUAUAUCGAGUGCCUUUUGAACGGAACUCAGAGAGGGUCAAACAGCUGCGGCAUGAGUAUGUGGAGAGAGUUUUACAGAUGGAUGCUGAAGCAAUCCCACAUGAAUUCAUGAUGAGGCAGGAUUCAACCUGUCAAAGACAAGAAGGAGAGGCAGAAAUAUAAUUGGCCACAGGGCUAUCAUCAAUGUCCCAGGGCAACGUGGGGGUAACAUCACCCUUUGUGCUGCCAUUACUCAGAAUGGGGUCCUCCUCCGUCAUGCCAACAUGGGUCCUUAC